This 1311-nucleotide long non-coding RNA is filed under the name Mus musculus (house mouse). RNAcentral describes it as "long non-coding RNA chr7:27638134-27639445". Lineage: Eukaryota; Metazoa; Chordata; Mammalia; Rodentia; Muridae. The record is from RNAcentral.
AGAGUGAGCAGCCCUCUGCCACCACAGGACACAAGCAUGGCCGUCAUCCACUGCCUGGGUGGCUUUUUAAAAAAAAAACUUUAUUUUGCCUUUUGGUUUGUGUUCCCUUCCCUGUCCCCUCAUCCCAAAUCCAGUUUCUUCUUCAGUCCUUGCUCAGACUUAGUGGUCCUGGCGGCCCUCUCCUCUGGGCUCCCCUCUGUUCCAGGUGAGCGCUGGGGACCGCCCAGGGACAGGCUGUUGGGAGGAUGGAGAGUGAGGUCAUUCCUCACCACUAGCCUCCAAGAGGGUGAAGUGGGGAGCCAUGGGGUCACAUGGAUUUGGAGGCACGCCAGCGGAGGACACAUCUAGAAGUUCCCCUCACUCCCAGCACCUCAGCUGCCUUCCAUGCUGUCCUCUGGGCAAUCUUAUCUGCUGCCACCCCACCUGGGGCACAAAAGCAGUAAUGUCCAGGGACAGGCAGAAGCCUUUGGAAGCUGAGGGGUCUGGGUUUGCUUCUAUGGAGAAUGGAUCUUCAAGGGGGAUCCAGGAGCAGGAGCUGCCUUCCUCUUCCUCCCAAGCUACUCUCUUGAUUCUCAAUAAAGCAGGAGGAAUGUUCGGGGGCAGCCCUCCUGCCCACAGCCCAGUGCCUUACCAGGGCUUCCUUCUAGCCAGCCUUGCCUCCCGCUCGGCCCCUUUGGAUGGCUCCGUUCUCUGCCUGGGGCAGAGGGAAGCCAACCUUGGCUGUUACACAUCUCACACCAAGACAGUAUUGGGCCCCUUGGACUUGACUGGGGUCUGAGGGGACAGAGAUGGGGAUAGGUGUCUGAUACACAAUGGGGUGGAGUCUGCCUCAUCUCCAGGGCACCUGUUCUGGAGCCUUAAAGUGAAUGUUUGAGUUAGAGUUGUGUCAGUGCUGUGGGUGCGGGUGUGCACCUGACCUAGCAGUGAGCAUCCCAGGCUCCUGGGAUGCUGGUGCCCACAGCUGUAUGCAGCACUUGUGUGAGUGGGCUCAGGCUCAGCCCCAGCCUGAGUGUUUGAUCCCACGGGGUGCAGUGAGUGCAGGCGAUGUGCCUGCUGCUCUGGCCAUGUCUCUCCCUCCUCAAUAGCUCUGGGUUUUUGGAAAUGAGUUCUCCUGGUUUUGCUCUCCCACCACACCCCCAGAAUAGGUGGAUUUCAGAAAGGCAGUAGGGUGGGGUGGUUGGGAUGGUUAUGGGGGUCAUCUGUUUUUUACUUUGUAUGUGUGUAUGUUUAUCUGAGAGUUUUCGCCCAUCCCUGCUGGCCUUUCCUUACUCCUCGUAUUUGUACGGUACAAGCAAUAAAGACACUCAUUUC